RNAcentral lists this transfer RNA (75 nucleotides) under Candidatus Peregrinibacteria bacterium CG1_02_54_53. Its description in RNAcentral is "tRNA-Glu". It matches the Rfam family "tRNA". Rfam says of the family: Transfer RNA (tRNA) molecules are approximately 80 nucleotides in length. Their secondary structure includes four short double-helical elements and three loops (D, anti-codon, and T loops). Further hydrogen bonds mediate the characteristic L-shaped molecular structure. tRNAs have two regions of fundamental functional importance: the anti-codon, which is responsible for specific mRNA codon recognition, and the 3' end, to which the tRNAs corresponding amino acid is attached (by aminoacyl-tRNA synthetases). tRNAs cope with the degeneracy of the genetic code in two manners: having more than one tRNA (with a specific anti-codon) for a particular amino acid; and 'wobble' base-pairing, i.e. permitting non-standard base-pairing at the 3rd anti-codon position. Lineage: Bacteria; Candidatus Peregrinibacteriota. RNAcentral also lists the same sequence under 3 other names. The record is from RNAcentral.
GGCCCCGUCGUCUAACGGUUAGGACGCCAGAUUUUCAAUCUGGUAACGCGGGUUCGAUUCCCGCCGGGGCUGCCA